Long non-coding RNA from Ruditapes philippinarum (Manila clam), 4115 nucleotides. RefSeq lists it as uncharacterized. Lineage: Eukaryota; Metazoa; Mollusca; Bivalvia; Venerida; Veneridae. The record is from RefSeq and is a predicted model, not a curated record. The transcript has 2 exons.
UAACUCAAAAAGUAUUUGACCUAGAGUCAUGUAACUUUACAGGAAUAUUGAUUAGCAUGUGCAGUUGUGCACAAGGUAUUUUCAUCUGGAUUUAUUUAGUAUUUUUAGAGUAAUUGCCCUUCACUUAGAAAAUUUUUGCAAUUUUCAACUUGUGUCGCAAGUUUCUCAAAAAGGAUUUGACAUAGUCAUUAAACCUUAUAGGCAGGUUGCUCAGCAUAUUUUAGAUUUGCACCUGGGGUUUUGCUUGUGGAUUUAUCCAGUAUUUGUAGAGUUAUUUCCCUUGACUUAGUAAAAAGAUUGACAGAACAGUGGCGCGGUGGGGGCACCCGUGUCCUAUGGACACAUUUCUAGUUUCCAUCAUAAAUGUAUAGCAUAAAACAACAACAAUAAACAAGAAAGAAUUUGGUGAAUACAAACAAAUAAUAGAAUAAUGUUCAAGUGCUUGGCUGGCUAUCAAGAUUUUAAUCAGUUUGUAUUCAUGGCAUUUGAAAUUUCUAUAUACCAUAUUAAACAGGAACAUACUUUAUUCGAGAUUUGGUUUACAUAUUAAAGCUUGUUGUCAUAGAAAGGACUGAUUGUGAAAUAUUUGUCUUAGUUUAUACAGUUGUUGAAAUUUAUUAUUUCAAUUAAAGAUCAACCCUGGAUCAGUUAAGGAGGAGAGGUACAACAAAGCUCAUAGCCAGACAAGAAUGGUGGUGGAAAGAGCAUUUGGAAUGUUGAAGUCAAGAUUUAGGUGUUUACACAAAACAGGAGGUUGUCUGCCAUUCACACCAGAGAAGUCUGCCAGAAUUGUCAGUGUCUGCUGUAAGCUUCACAAUGUUUGUUUGGAAAGAAACAUUCCUUUAAUAGGAGAUAUAUUGAUUGAUGACACUUUGAAUAAUGAUGAUGUAGUUACAAUAUAUCAGAGUAUUCAAACUGGAAUUAAUGCCAGGGCUACCCUAAUUGAUCUUUUUUAAGUUUUAGCCUGACCUUCUUUUUUUUGAAAAAAAAAUUAUAGGUAUUAUUACAGUCAUGUUGGCGUUUCUGCUGCUGUCCACAAACUUUAACAUUGAUCAUAACUUUAUUUAUGUAAUAUAAAUAUAAAUGGUGGUUGUUUUGUCUGCUCUGUAACUUCCAAAUACAUGAAAGUUUCAAUUUUUAUUUAAAAAUUUAAAGUCACCAUAGAUGGACAAUGUGUUUUGAACAAGACCCAGGUUUCUUUGUCUAACUUCAAGUUCACUGCUGGGGUUCGACCUUUGUCAAUUUUUACCACCACACUUACCAUGUAAUUAAUGGUUAAUGAUGUAAUAUAUAGAGGAUAUUGAAUGAGUGUAAGUUCAAUACUGAAUUUAUUGCACGAGUUGAAUAAAAUUUUAUUAUGCGAGACUCUGGCAAGCUUCAACAAGUGCAAUAAUUUCAGUGAUGAACAUUACACAAAUUAAAUAUUCUAUUUAUCACAUACCCAAAUUUAAUUAACAAAAUGUAGCUAUUUCUUUUUGUUAUAAAAUUAAUUUAAUUCAGCUUUCUCAGGAAAUACUUAUUUUCAUACCACUCGAUGAAAAUAAAUCAAGUAUUUAUAGAAAAACUUGAAUAUCCUCUAUAUAUUUAACAAUCGUGUAAGUUAUUCUUAACAUUUUACAAAUUAAAUUGAUAUAUAUAAAUAAUAAGAGAGUUACUAAUUGGGUAACAAGUUACCUACAUGUGUAAGACUUCAUGUAACCAAUUUCAAAUAAUGAAUUCUAACAUGACCUGAAUGUUUCCUAUUGAACAAGAAAGCACCGAAAGUGUUUGUAAAAAUGCAAUUACUUCAUUUAGACUACCAUACUAGUUAUAAAAACUUUGACAGGUUAUAUGGCCCUAUAUAAAUGGUUGUUUGAAAAUAUAACAUGAGCCGCUAGGCGAGGGUUAUAUUUACAAACAAGCGUUCAUAUACAGCCAUAUAACCGGUCAGAAAUAUUUAUAAUAAAUUUAUAAUACAGCAAGCAUCAUUUUUAGAGGAAUAAACUGAGAUUUUUUUUAUAAAUCGACAGCAGCCGUGUAUAAACUAUAUAAACGUCACGAUUAUCCAAUGAAAAGCGACAUUACAAACAUGCAGUAUUAUAAAUGUAUGUAAUCACUAAAUGUGACACGCGGGAAGAAGUAAAGAAACAAACAUUUAGCUUGAUUUAAGGUAUAGCACCAUGUUUAAGUUAAUGUCAUGUUAGAAUCAAAAUAAUAUAUCCCAAUCAGUGAUUUUAUGGCUUUAUAAAAUCACUGUUUGAUGUCCGGAUGUGCAGCAUGUUAUCACAAGAGCUGUGCCUUCUUUAUAUAAUCUCUGGCAUCCGAAAUCAAAUCAAUAAUUUUAAUUUAGCUGUAAAAUCACUGCUUGGAAUAUAUCAUUUCUUUAGUUCACUAUAUUUAUUUAAUUUCCACUGUCCUUCCUAAGUAUAUGAUUUUAUGACUGCAUUUUGUAUUUGGAAAAUGUAUACUUUGAUAUUUAAAGUUCAAGGAGAUUAUCAAUAGUACUUUUGUAUGCAAUGAUGUCAGUAAGUCGCUUCAAUUCCUUAGAAAUUGCCCCCAGAUUUUCAUUUUGCUGCUUUUGCGUGUUGAGAAUUUCUUCAAGAAAUUUGCACUUCUUCCUUUCAAUAUCAAGAAGUUCUUGAUAUUUAUCUGUAAUUGAAAUAACAUAUUGUAAUAAUUGUAUCAUAGUUAUCAAUCUCAGCAAAGGCUUGCUUUGUAGCCAUUUCUUGAACCUGUUAAUUAAAUUUUACAUUUUAUCCAGCUACUAUCUAUAUUAUCAUCUGGAAGCCUUGCCGGAUAAACUUAUCUUAAUUGCAGUCAUUACGUCAUAAUUAUGAUGACCUCACAUGGUAAAAAGAAAAACAAGACAAAACUACAUCAGGGAAAUGUAAGAUUGAAACUUUUUACUAGUAAAUUGUCUAAAAACAUGAUCAAAAGCAGGAUAACUCAAAUACAUGCUCGGUGUCGGCCUAAAGCUCGCCAAGAUACACUUUCUCGCUCACCGGAUAAACCUUCUCUAUCAAAACAUUAACAAUGUAUUCUUUAUAUAUGGUUAUUCAUAUGAGAUUCUAUGUAUUUCAUAUGGUUUGAAACCAGUUGCUUUGUAUGUCAGAGAUAUUUCCAAUUUUACUUUCUACUAUAUCCAGUUCCUUGAUUCUCUGAUUGUGACAUUGUACUUAGGAUGCCAUAUGGAAUUUCUUUAAAAUUUAAGAAACAUACAUGGCACUUUUUGAAAUUCCUUAAGUCAUUUCUUUAAUAAACCGGACAUAUAUUCACAAUAAUACAAUUUGCAAGAUUUAUUUCAAAAUACGGCAUUAUUUCCAUGAAAGUUUCCAUUAUACUUGAUGUGUUUUACCUGUUAAUGAACAGCUGGAAAUAAUUUGUAAUACAUUUACCUAUUGGUUCACUCACUGUCCUUUUUCUUUUUUCCUGGAAGUAAAUUUUGAAUGUUGUGAAAAUUCAGAAUUGAAUUUAUUUAAUUUCUUCAAAUGAAUUAUAUAAUACCAUUUCUGCCUAUUGUGAACAUAUUAUUUUGUUAUUCAAUUUUUUCAAUAAAUUUAGUAAGAAAAUCACACAAAAAUAAUUAAAUAGUAAUAAUUUUAUCACAUACCAGUACAUUAUGUAAGUAUUGUUUGUAAAAAAAGUUUAUUUUGUAAUUUCCAUACCUACAAGCUUAUUCUGUAAUGUUUUCAAAUAUUUAGUGUCAUUUGAAAUGACAAGUCAUAUAAUCUUACACUGAAAGUUAUACACAGAAGUGUAGUAUCAAUUUUGCUGACUUGCAAAAACUGUGCUGGUAUAUGAUAAGAAAAUCAUUUAUUUAUAUUUCUUCAUAAUAAGGUAAGUAUUUCCUCAACAUUUGAUUAACCCUUUACCUGCUGAAUUAUUGCGAUGGACAUCCAACCUUAAAUUUCAGUACUUUCCAUUCUCCAUUUGUGGAUAUGAAAAUUGAAAGACAGCCUGGCAAAUGUAUAGAGCCUGGCCAGAUUUGACAGCUGUGUAUUUGACUUGGCUCUGCGUGGCAACAUUGCAGCAGGUGAAAGGUUAAUAAAAUGGUUUGAUAUUCAUUGUCAUAUACAUUUGUAAUAUGAUAUCAAGCAAUUCAGUAUUGAAAUAUGUGCAAUAAAAUUUGAAAUGUC